Long non-coding RNA from Bombus impatiens (common eastern bumble bee), 2485 nucleotides. RefSeq lists it as uncharacterized. The transcript is spliced from 2 exons. The record is from RefSeq and is a predicted model, not a curated record. NCBI's taxonomy places the organism in Eukaryota, Metazoa, Arthropoda, Insecta, Hymenoptera, Apidae.
UGGCUCUGAAAAUCAAUUUAUCAAAAUAUUAAAUUAAUACAUUGUAAAUUUAUAAUAGAUUUAUAAAUUUAUAAUGAUAUACAAGUACUAAUAAUAAUAUUCAAAUAGCUUAAUUUUUAUACAAUAUUAUACAAAUUAAUACAAUCUGAAGCUAAAAGGGUGUUACUCGUAAAGUUAUCUUUAUAUAAUAGGAUUCUGCAAAACGAUCGUAAAAAAGAUACUGAAAGUCACGAUGAACUUUGAAAAUCCCUUGGGAGUCUCCAAUAUGUCAAGGCUCGGAAUCCUGUUCUAUAUCGCGUGGCACAUUGAAAUAAAAUAUUCUCCGCUAUACCGUCAAGCAAUAUAGGUGCAAAAAUUCAGUAUAAAUGCGGUAUUUCAUCGAUUAAAUAUCCUAACGUCACAGAAAGAUGUCAAUCCUAUAUUAGCUUAACCAUAUAAACCAGUGUUUCCCAACUUACAAUUUUCCCUUCGUGUUUACGUAUAAAAAGGCAUUUUUAAUAAAAUAAAAAAUACACUAAAAGCAUAUUUUCCAGAAUAUUGUUCCAAAGUGACUGGAGCCUCUCAGAAGCCUUCUAUCAGGAAUCUAUUGACUCUACGAUCCGUCACGCUUAUGCUAGUGACUAAAAUUUUUUAGUCAUUUUCUCAAGUUUUUAAUAAUGUGAUUGAUUUAAAAUUAAUACUAUAGAUAUCAAUAGUAAUUUUUUUCAGUUACUUUUGACAAGAACAUCGUAGAAAUUUCCUACAAUAAGAUAUUACAAGUUUUCUUUUAAAUUUCUCAACUUUAUGGAAGCUACAGUGAUCCUAAACUUUUGGUCAGUAGUAUAAUAUUAGCAUACCAAAAGAUGGUUACUCAAGAUCUCAAAAUGUGCCUUUUCGUACCCGUCGGUAAUCUGGCUAUCGAUAAACCAUGCAGGAUCCCUUAAGGACCCCUCUUACUCAAGAACGUCGAUCGUUGCAUUUUACUAUGCUAAGAAUUGAACAGAACUCGUUGGCUGCGGUGGUCUGCGUUGAUAAUAUCCUCGAGAUGGCGGAGAAAGGAUAGUUUCUAUUUGAUAAGAGGCGCAAAGGAGUCGACCGAUCGGUAAAGAGUCUACGAGGCAUUCGCGGAAUCAAUACUUUGACAUACUUGGUCGAAGAGGCUGUCGUUGCAUUUAAACGAGCUCCAAUAUAGGGUGAAGAAGUCGAUUCAGGAAAGGGUGUGUUGCUUCUAAAUGUGGAAAAGAGGAGACUGACUAUAUGUAGUUGAAGGAACAAUAUCGUACCUCACGAACGGACUGCGGUCACGGAAAUAGCUCAGAUACGUCUCAUCUCGGUACAUGUAACGUAGAUCGUUCUUGCAGCCCACUAACAGUACCGGAGUCUGUGGGCAGAAUCGUCGUAUUUCCGGAUACCACAUCGCCUUGCAGUUCCGUAAAGAUACGGGAUUUGUUAUAGAGAAACAUAGUAGCACAACGUCCGAUCUAAUUUUAAACAUACGUAGAGAUUAAUUGUUUGAUCUUUGGAAAGUUAAAUAUACUAAUCGUGUAUUCUUGUAUUAAAAUUAUGAAGUUUCAGGAGAUUUAUGGUUGAUCAGUACUGGCUUCUAAGUGGUUCGCGUAGAAAUAAUAAAAAGGAGAAAAGAAUAAUUACAGCGUGUAAAUGAUAGACCACGUAUAAAAAAUUGACAUCAAAAUAUAUGAAAUUAUUUUCUUAGAGGAAUAAGAGGUAAAUUCUAUACUAAAUAUGACGGUAAACGGGAUAAGUGUUAAAAUAAUUUAUAUUAGUUUUUAGAGCUAUCGUAAGAUAAAGCUAAAAUUGUAAGUGGCAACUCUACUACGAUCGAAGAAGAUACAAGAAUAUUGUGUUUGUGCGUUAAAUGGUACGCUAAACACAGUGGAAAUUUAUGAGAAGAUUUAUUUGACGAUUAUCUUACCUGCCGUACGCGAAACGUCGAUCCUUCUCGUGGUCGCCAAACGUGUCCCAAAGUCGCAGGGAAACAUUUACGUUAUCGACUACUUCCCAGGAACGUUCUAGGACCUAGAAAAUGGACGCAAGUUGAAGUCUUUUAUCUUAGUUACAUUUUUACAUUUAACGACCGAUCUACAGUGUGCGGGAAACAAAAUAUGAGACUUUGAGGUAAAUUCGUCAAACAGUCCAUUGAGCAAAGACCAAAGACGCAAUAACGUUCCUCAAAAGCGAUCAGACGAAACUGGCCAAACCAGAAAUCUACGCAGAGAUCACGAUGAAAGUGAAAAUACAGUACAGGUAUUUGAACGCCUCUUAAAUGACCUGAGGGUAAGCACCGAUGUAAACAUUUCCUCCCAACUUAAGAAUUUUCAACUUCGACAUUUACUGCUCGUUAAACGCUACAUCGCGUGCGAAGCGUUUUGCGUUGUCUUUUCAAAAUUAAAACAAUGAUUACUACUAACAAAUUGGAGGCCACGAUUCACAAAUUCUACCAAACCCAAUCUACAUGGAAGAUAAAAAUUACAAUCAACGAACGAUA